Molecule: ribosomal RNA, 104 nt
Filed under: Caerostris darwini
Lineage: Eukaryota; Metazoa; Arthropoda; Arachnida; Araneae; Araneidae
Source: RNAcentral
CCGUACCAUGCUGAAUAUACCGGUUCUCGUUAGAUCACCGAAGUCAAGCAUCAUUGGGCGCGGUCAGUACUUGGGUGGGUGACCACCUUAACACCGCGUGCCGU